UGGGGAAUAUUGGACAAUGGGCGAAAGCCUGAUCCAGCCAUGCCGCGUGUGUGAAGAAGGUCUUCGGAUUGUAAAGCACUUUAAGUUGGGAGGAAGGGCAGUAAGCGAAUACCUUGCUGUUUUGACGUUACCGACAGAAUAAGCACCGGCUAACUCUGUGCCAGCAGCCGCGGUAAUACAGAGGGUGCAAGCGUUAAUCGGAAUUACUGGGCGUAAAGCGCGCGUAGGUGGUUCGUUAAGUUGAAUGUGAAAGCCCCGGGCUCGACCUGGGAACUGCAUCCAAAACUGGCGGGCUAGAGUAGGGCAGAGGGUGGUGGAAUUUCCUGUGUAGCGGUGAAAUGCGUAGAUAUAGGAAGGAACACCAGUGGCGAAGGCGACCACCUGGGCUCAUACUGACACUGAGGUGCGAAAGCGUGGGGAGCAAACAGG
Molecule: ribosomal RNA, 429 nt
Filed under: Pseudomonadota bacterium
Lineage: Bacteria; Pseudomonadati; Pseudomonadota
Description: Proteobacteria bacterium partial 16S ribosomal RNA
Rfam family: Bacterial small subunit ribosomal RNA
Source: RNAcentral